This 305-nucleotide ribosomal RNA is filed under the name uncultured bacterium. Its description in RNAcentral is "bacterial SSU rRNA". It matches the Rfam family "Bacterial small subunit ribosomal RNA", at positions 333 to 631 of the family's 1533-position model. The record is from RNAcentral.
UCAGUCCUACGGGGGGCAGCAGUGGGGAAUAUUGCGCAAUGGACGAAAGUCUGACGCAGCGACGCCGCGUGAGGGAUGAAGGUUUUCGGAUCGUAACCCUCUGUCAGGAGGGAAGAAAGCGCAUGGCGCCAAUCAGCCAUGCGUUGACGGUACCUCCAAAGGAAGCGCCGGCUAACUCCGUGCCAGCAGCCGCGGUAAUACGUAGGUGGCGAGCGUUAUCCGGAAUGAUUGGGCAUAAAGGGUGCGUAGGCGGCCUGCUAAGUCUGGAGUGAAAGGUACCGGCUCAACCGGUACAGGCUCUGGAA